AACGAACGCUGGCGGCAGGCCUAACACAUGCAAGUCGAGCGCCCUUUCGGGGGAGCGGCGGACGGGUGAGUAACGCGUGGGAAUAUGCCCUUCUCUACGGAAUAGCCUCGGGAAACUGAGAGUAAUACCGUAUACGCCCUAUGGGGGAAAGAUUUAUCGGGGAAGGAUUAGCCCGCGUUGGAUUAGGGGGUUGGUGGGGUAAUGGCCUACCAAGCCGACGAUCCAUAGCUGGUUUGAGAGGAUGAUCAGCCACACUGGGACUGCGACACGGCCCAGACUCCUACGAGAGGCAGCAGUGGGGAAUCUUAGCCAAUGGGGGCAACCCUGAUCUAGCCAUGCCGCGUGAGUGAUGAAGGCCUUAGGGUUGUAAAGCUCUUUCAGCUGGGAAGAUAAUGACGGUACCAGCAGAAGAAGCCCCGGCUAACUCCGUG
This 431-nucleotide ribosomal RNA is filed under the name uncultured bacterium. Its description in RNAcentral is "partial 16S ribosomal RNA". It matches the Rfam family "Bacterial small subunit ribosomal RNA", at positions 29 to 507 of the family's 1533-position model. The record is from RNAcentral.